GGUUGUGUGGUCUAGUGGUUAUAUGACAUUUGAUUCUGAUAAUAUUUUCAAAGUAUCAUUUUACUUUACAAAGUAAGAACAUUCAAAGAACCCCGGUUCGAAUCCGGGCACGACCU
This 116-nucleotide transfer RNA is filed under the name Hanseniaspora osmophila. It matches the Rfam family "tRNA". From Rfam's summary of the family: Transfer RNA (tRNA) molecules are approximately 80 nucleotides in length. Their secondary structure includes four short double-helical elements and three loops (D, anti-codon, and T loops). Lineage: Eukaryota; Fungi; Ascomycota; Saccharomycetes; Saccharomycodales; Saccharomycodaceae. The record is from Rfam by way of RNAcentral.